AUUGAACGCUGGCGGCAGGCCUAACACAUGCAAGUCGAACGGCAGCGGGGGGUAGCUUGCUACCCCGCCGGCGAGUGGCGGACGGGUGAGUAAUGCCUGGGGAGCUGCCCAAUCGAGGGGGAUACCAGUUGGAAACGACUGCUAAUACCGCAUACGCCCUGAGGGGGAAAGGUGGGGAUCUUCGGACCUAUCGCGAUUGGAUGCACCCAGGUGGGAUUAGCUAGUUGGUGAGGUAACGGCUCACCAAGGCGACGAUCUCUAGCUGGUCUGAGAGGAUGACCAGCCACACUGGAACUGAGACACGGUCCAGACUCCUACGGGAGGCAGCAGUGGGGAAUAUUGCACAAUGGGGGAAACCCUGAUGCAGCCAUGCCGCGUGUGUGAAGAAGGCCUUCGGGUUGUAAAGCACUUUCAGUGGGGAGGAAGGGGAGUAAGCUAAUAACUUGCUUCAUUGACGUUACCCACAGAAGAAGCACCGGCUAACUCCGUGCCAGCAGCCGCGGUAA
Molecule: ribosomal RNA, 506 nt
Filed under: uncultured bacterium
Lineage: Bacteria
Description: partial 16S ribosomal RNA
Rfam family: Bacterial small subunit ribosomal RNA
Source: RNAcentral